This 3137-nucleotide long non-coding RNA is filed under the name Jatropha curcas. RNAcentral describes it as "long non-coding RNA (JCUR_LNC003181)". Lineage: Eukaryota; Viridiplantae; Streptophyta; Magnoliopsida; Malpighiales; Euphorbiaceae. The record is from RNAcentral.
GUAUUCCUCUCGGUGCUGUUGUCACGACUCCUGAGAUUGCUGAAGUAUUGACGCGCCGCAGUUACUUCAACACAUUUGGGGGAAAUCCUGUGUGCACUGCUGCAGGGCUGGCCGUUCUGAAAGUGAUCGAGAAAGAAAAACUUCAGGAAAAUGCAUUUGUUGUGGGGACCUAUCUGAAAAAGAGACUAACCGAACUCAAAGAUAAAUAUGAAAGUAAAUCAUCUUUCUUACCACUAACUUUAUUUAUUGGACACUUGUUUAUGCUUAACAAAAUUUCAGCUUUAGCUUGCCUCUGAUCAUAGAUCUAAAAUAUUUUAAUCCGUGUAAGAAGCAAUGUGAAACAGAUGGUAAUAUUUGAAAUUCUUAUCCUGCAAUUAUAUACAACUCGAAUAUUAAGCACUAUUUUCGAUUUAGUUUUUCUCUUAUGGCCCUUUUUUUUCCUAUUUGGUUUUCUAAGCAUGCUAGAUUGUAUUAUAACUGGUUUCUGCAGUUAUUGGAGAUGUGAGGGGAAAAGGAUUGAUGCUUGGAGUUGAACUUGUAACUGACCACCAACACAAAACUCCUGCAAAGAAUGAAACUUUGCAUAUAAUGGACCAGAUGAAAGGUCUUUAUUUCUCCUACCCAUCUUCUAGAUAUAUUUAAUAUUUAUUUCUAGUUUCUAACAGAUCCUUUUUCUUUUUUGUUUUGCAGAAAUGGGAGUCUUGGUUGGGAAAGGUGGAUUCUAUGGAAAUGUUUUCAGAAUUACUCCUCCUCUCUGUUUUACCAAAGAAGAUGCAGGUACAUGUUCUUUUUCUUAUUCCAAUUACCAAAGCAAUACAGAUGCAGGCACAUGUUCUUUUUCUUAUUCCAAUUACCAAAGCAAUACAGAUAUUUCCAACGUUUCCCAUUUGGUAAAUUCUGUGGGUGCAGAUUUCUUUGUCGAUGUGAUGGAUUACACAAUGUCAAAGAUGUGAAGCUUCCAUAAUGUAGAUAAUGAUGUUUUAUUAAUCAUCUGCAAAUCAAUGAAACUUGUUCUGUAUAAUUUCAUGUCAGUUGCGAGUGUAGCUUAUGAAAAUAUCAGUAAUAGGUUUUCUUCCUGAAUGAGUUGUUGCUGCCUUAAUGAAGCGAUGAGUCAACAGCUCGUUGUCUCUUGCUCAAACCUGUCUCUGGGUCAUAAAAUUCUUCAACUUCUGAAACAUUUUUGCUUGUAGACAAUAAAUGUUUGUUCCCUAUGAAUCAAUAAUUUGCAGAUCUUAUGAAUUUAUGUUACGAUGGUUUUCUUCCAUGGCAUUACAGAUUUACUUGACUGAAUCAUUUGCUUGUUUAUAAUACAAGCUAGUUUUCAGCAGGAAAAUUUGCAUAGAAAAAGGCUUUCCUCAAAUGAUUAUUUAAAUAGUUAUUCAGUUUUAAUGUGAUCACAUGCGAUAAUAAAGAAUGACUAAAAUACUAAAAACUUGGAAAUAGAAAUUGUAAAAUACAUACAAAAUCUAGUAAAUAUAUUACAUUACUUUUGAUAGUAAUAAUACACAAGCAAAUAUUCUUGUCUGCUAUUUUAACACUAGAACUCUAAUAUUUCUAGGUUUAAUGACAAAAUUAAUAAUACUAAUCAUCUAUCUUUAUAUAUAAGAAAAAGAGGAGGACCAGCACUUUCACAGAGAAAAAAAAUAAUAAAAAAAACAAGAUAAUUUAUGCAAUACUAUUUGAUAACUAAUGGCUUGGAGGGGUAAACCUAAAAAAAAUUACAGCGAAAGGGUAAAUAGUAAUACUGUUUGUUUAAACCCCUCAUCCAUCCCCAAUGUGUUUCCUCCCUGCACCUUUUCAUACUCAACUUUGAUUUAUUCUAUUGAAGUUAUUUACAAAAAUUAAAAUUUUAUUAAUGCACAAAUCAUUUUUCCAAUAGUAAAAAAGAAACUGCUUAUUCAAAUAGAUCAUGUCGAAUUCAUUACUAGAGAAAUUAACUUUUCUGAGAGAAAUGAAAGAAAAUUUGGCUAAUCAUAUACAACAUUCUAAUUAGUCUGAGAGAAGUUUUAGAAUCAAGAAAGUUUUUACCAAUUUUGUGGAAGUUAUUAAAAAUUGAAAGAAAGAAUUGUUUUAUUACAGAUCUGACUAUAUGGAUAAUACAGUGGAAAUUCAUUUAAUCGCACUACAUUACGACUUACUUAUCAUGUUUAACCUAAGAUUCAUCAUCCAGCUUCAGAUGCAUUAUAUAGAUUAUAGUAAUGGGUGAAAAGAAGAUUUCUUCUUUCAGAAGCAUGCAAAUGAUCAAGAAUAUCAUAUAGAUUUGUUUUUAUUAGAAUAAAUUACGUUUGGAGAUUCAUAUUAGUGAUUAAAUUAAUAAGAAUUUAUGAUAUGAAAAUUCAAGCUAAUAAGAGCUUUAUGAUAAUUAAGUUUGAUAUGUAGCUCCUUAAUUAAGGUUAUGCAUGAAUUUAAAUCCUUAACCCUACUCAUCUCUAGAAUCAAAGAAUUUGAAACAUAAUUUAUUUUAUCAAAGCAUUAUUGUUACAAAAACCCUAAUCUAUCUUAACAAUUACAUUUAGAAAUCAUACAUAUACAUACAUGCAUGAAUUCAAAUAAGUUAAAAAGAUUAAAUGAUUCAUUAUACAUUAUUGCAGCACAGCCAACAGUGAAGGAAAAAGAAAAAAACAAAUAGCAAAAAUAAUUAAUUAUCUAAAAAAAAAAAAAAAAAAAAAAAGCGAUAUGACUACCGAUCAUGUCGAGCAGCCAUGGGCGACAUGGGAGAGUAGCUGUACCUGGUAAAAACAGCAGUAGAAGAAGAUCGGCGAAUGCGAAAAGUAGCUGAGGAAAAUCGAAUAGCAGACAUUAAAAUCGAUAAUACAUCUACUAAUAAAUAGUCAAGUUCAUAAAACAUGCUUAUGCUUUUCCUUAGAAUCACAUUUAUCAACAUCGAAACUGCAUCUGCAAAUCCACCCAUGUUCUUCUAUCUCUUUCCUUCUUGUUAUUCCUCUGCUGCUGGUUUUGCUGUUUUUGGGAGGCAAAAAUGUCAAACUCAAUACCCAUCGGUCAUCAUGUUAUUAAUUGAUUGCAGCGACCAGUCUAAUCGCUAAUAAUAAUGCUGGUCAAACUGGUAGUGACUGAAAUACCCUUCUAUUCCAAUUUAACAUUACUUCUAAUUCUACAAGGAAUAAUUUUCUUUUGGC